GGGUCGCGAACGCCGGUGGCGCGGGGCGGCCGGUGCGCAGCAGGUCGAGGAAGAGCUUCGGCAUGGAGCAGAGGACGUCGGUGAGGAUGGUGUCGGACAGCUCCGGCACGAGGAAGGGA
Molecule: non-coding RNA, 119 nt
Filed under: Emiliania huxleyi
Lineage: Eukaryota; Haptophyta; Isochrysidales; Noelaerhabdaceae
Source: RNAcentral